Molecule: ribosomal RNA, 389 nt
Filed under: uncultured Glomeromycotina
Lineage: Eukaryota; Fungi; Glomeromycota
Description: SSU rRNA
Rfam family: Eukaryotic small subunit ribosomal RNA
Source: RNAcentral
GAAGAACUGUAAUGCCAUUAAUUUGGUGUUGCAGGGAAACAGGACUGUUACUUUGAAAAAAUUAGAGUGUUUAAAGCAGGCUAACGCUUGAAUACAUUAGCAUGGAAUAAUGAAAUAGGACGUUCAAACCUAUUUUGUUGGUUUCUAGGAUUGACGUAAUGAUUAAUAGGGAUAGUUGGGGGCAUUAGUAUUCAAUUGUCAGAGGUGAAAUUCUUGGAUUUAUUGAAGACUAACUACUGCGAAAGCAUUUGCCAAGGAUGUUUUCAUUAAUCAAGAACGAAAGUUAGGGGAUCGAAGACGAUCAGAUACCGUCGUAGUCUUAACCAUAAACUAUGCCGACUAGGGAUCGGAUGAUGUUAAUUUUUUAAUGACUCAUUCGGCGCCUUACG